Molecule: ribosomal RNA, 464 nt
Filed under: uncultured bacterium
Lineage: Bacteria
Description: partial 16S ribosomal RNA
Rfam family: Bacterial small subunit ribosomal RNA
Source: RNAcentral
GACGAACGCUGGCGGCGUGCUUAACACAUGCAAGUCGAACAGAAAGGCCCUGCUUGCAGGGUACUCGAGUGGCGAACGGGUGAGUAACACGUGGGUGAUCUGCCCUGCACUUCGGGAUAAGCCUGGGAAACUGGGUCUAAUACCGGAUAGGAGCCAUUUUUAGUGUGAUGGUUGGAAAGUUUUUUCGGUGUAGGAUGAGCUCGCGGCCUAUCAGCUUGUUGGUGGGGUAAUGGCCUACCAAGGCGGCGACGGGUAGCCGGCCUGAGAGGGUGGACGGCCACAUUGGGACUGAGAUACGGCCCAGACUCCUACGGGAGGCAGCAGUGGGGAAUAUUGCACAAUGGGCGCAAGCCUGAUGCAGCGACGCCGCGUGGGGGAUGACGGCCUUCGGGUUGUAAACUCCUUUCGCUAGGGACGAAGCUUUUGUGACGGUACCUAGAUAAGAAGCACCGGCUAACUACGUG